This 493-nucleotide ribosomal RNA is filed under the name uncultured bacterium. Its description in RNAcentral is "bacterial SSU rRNA". It matches the Rfam family "Bacterial small subunit ribosomal RNA", at positions 28 to 524 of the family's 1533-position model. The record is from RNAcentral.
GAUGAACGCUAGCGGCAGGCCUAACACAUGCAAGUCGAGGGGUAGAAUUAGCUUGCUAAUUUGAGACCGGCGCACGGGUGCGUAACGCGUAUGCAAUCUACCUUGUACAGGGGGAUAGCCCAGAGAAAUUUGGAUUAAUACUCCAUGGUAUAAUUGAAUCGCAUGGUUUGAUUAUUAAAGUUCCAACGGUACAAGAUGAGCAUGCGUCCCAUUAGCUAGUUGGUGUGGUAACGGCAUACCAAGGCGACGAUGGGUAGGGGUCCUGAGAGGGAGAUCCCCCAACUGGUACUGAGACACGGACCAGACUCCUACGGGAGGCAGCAGUGAGGAAUAUUGGUCAAUGGUCGGAAGACUGAACCAGCCAUGCCGCGUGCAGGAAGACGGUCCUAUGGAUUGUAAACUGCUUUUGUACGGGAAGAAACACUCCUUCGUGAAGGAGCUUGACGGUACCGUAAGAUAAGGAUCGGCUAACCCGUGCCAGCAGCCGGGUAAA